UACAGAGGCCCCAAGCGUUACUGAGAAUCACUGGGUUUAAAGGGUGCGUAGGUGGCGCGUUAAGUCCGUUGUGAAAUCCCUGGGCUCAACCCAGGAAUUGCUUCGGAUACUGGCUUGCUUGAGGCCGGUAGGGGUCACUGGAACUGACGGUGGAGCGGUGAAAUGCGUAGAUAUCGUCAGGAACGCCGAUGGUGAAGACAGGUGACUGGGCCGGAACUGACACUGAGGCACGAAAGCGUGGGGAGCGAACGGG
RNAcentral lists this ribosomal RNA (253 nucleotides) under uncultured bacterium. Its description in RNAcentral is "partial 16S ribosomal RNA". It matches the Rfam family "Bacterial small subunit ribosomal RNA", at positions 524 to 776 of the family's 1533-position model. The record is from RNAcentral.